AAUGAGCUUAGGGCCAAGUUUAGCAUCCCACCCAAAUUUGAUCUAGAGCUCUCGGAUCCAACUAGUAGGAUUUGUAAUCCUCCUCCUGAUUGGCUCGCUCUAUACGAGGAGUUGUUUCGGACUAGUCUUAGACUCCCUCUUCUCCCUUUUAUUGUGGAAUUUUUUUUAUUUUUUGGCAUGGCCUUAUGUUCAAUGGCCUGAACUCUUGGCAUUUUAUCAUUGGCUUCUUGGCUACUUGUUUCCUGGCUGAGAUUCAGCCACCCAUUGAUCUAUUU
This 275-nucleotide long non-coding RNA is filed under the name Elaeis guineensis (African oil palm). RNAcentral's name for it is "long non-coding RNA (EGUI_LNC017335)". Lineage: Eukaryota; Viridiplantae; Streptophyta; Magnoliopsida; Arecales; Arecaceae. The record is from RNAcentral.